UGCUGUGGCUCAGUCGGUAGAGCGUCGCCUUGGUAAGGCGGAGGUCACGGGUUCAAGUCCCGCCAGCA
This 68-nucleotide transfer RNA is filed under the name uncultured Eubacterium sp. It matches the Rfam family "tRNA". From Rfam's summary of the family: Transfer RNA (tRNA) molecules are approximately 80 nucleotides in length. Their secondary structure includes four short double-helical elements and three loops (D, anti-codon, and T loops). The record is from RNAcentral. Lineage: Bacteria; Bacillati; Bacillota; Clostridia; Eubacteriales; Eubacteriaceae.